Molecule: ribosomal RNA, 681 nt
Filed under: Escherichia coli
Lineage: Bacteria; Pseudomonadati; Pseudomonadota; Gammaproteobacteria; Enterobacterales; Enterobacteriaceae
Also listed under: 2 other names
Description: partial 23S ribosomal RNA
Rfam family: Bacterial large subunit ribosomal RNA
Source: RNAcentral
GACAGUGUCUGGUGGGUAGUUUGACUGGGGCGGUCUCCUCCUAAAGAGUAACGGAGGAGCACGAAGGUUGGCUAAUCCUGGUCGGACAUCAGGAGGUUAGUGCAAUGGCAUAAGCCAGCUUGACUGCGAGCGUGACGGCGCGAGCAGGUGCGAAAGCAGGUCAUAGUGAUCCGGUGGUUCUGAAUGGAAGGGCCAUCGCUCAACGGAUAAAAGGUACUCCGGGGAUAACAGGCUGAUACCGCCCAAGAGUUCAUAUCGACGGCGGUGUUUGGCACCUCGAUGUCGGCUCAUCACAUCCUGGGGCUGAAGUAGGUCCCAAGGGUAUGGCUGUUCGCCAUUUAAAGUGGUACGCGAGCUGGGUUUAGAACGUCGUGAGACAGUUCGGUCCCUAUCUGCCGUGGGCGCUGGAGAACUGAGGGGGGCUGCUCCUAGUACGAGAGGACCGGAGUGGACGCAUCACUGGUGUUCGGGUUGUCAUGCCAAUGGCACUGCCCGGUAGCUAAAUGCGGAAGAGAUAAGUGCUGAAAGCAUCUAAGCACGAAACUUGCCCCGAGAUGAGUUCUCCCUGACUCCUUGAGAGUCCUGAAGGAACGUUGAAGACGACGACGUUGAUAGGCCGGGUGUGUAAGCGCAGCGAUGCGUUGAGCUAACCGGUACUAAUGAACCGUGAGGCUUAACCUU